CAGUCGCCGCGGUAAUACGAGGGGGGCAAGCGUUGUUCGGAAUUAUUGGGCGUAAAGGGCGCGUAGGCGGUUUGGCAAGUUUGGUGUGAAAUCUUCGGGCUCAACUCGAAGUCUGCACCGAAAACUGCCGGGCUUGAGUAUGGGAGAGGUGAGUGGAAUUUCCGGUGUAGCGGUGAAAUGCGUAGAUAUCGGAAGGAACACCUGUGGCGAAAGCGGCUCACUGGACCAUUACUGACGCUGAGGCGCGAAAGCUAGGGGAGCAAACAGGAUUAGAUACCCCUGUAGUCCCUGUCUCUUAUAC
This 301-nucleotide ribosomal RNA is filed under the name uncultured bacterium. RNAcentral describes it as "partial 16S ribosomal RNA". It matches the Rfam family "Bacterial small subunit ribosomal RNA", at positions 509 to 807 of the family's 1533-position model. The record is from RNAcentral.